Long non-coding RNA from Orcinus orca (killer whale), 2995 nucleotides. RefSeq lists it as uncharacterized. The transcript is spliced from 2 exons. NCBI's taxonomy places the organism in Eukaryota, Metazoa, Chordata, Mammalia, Artiodactyla, Delphinidae. The record is from RefSeq and is a predicted model, not a curated record.
UCUAUGCCCUCAGACCUGUCUAUGUCUUUCUGGGGCCUGAGUUUUCUGGUAUCUAGCUGGUCUUUGAUGUCUUCUUUUGCAUCCUGUCCAGCUGAUAGCAGACGCAUGGCCCCUGGGGACUCAUCAAGACUCUGCCAGUGCCUUGAAGUUCAUCCUCAUUUCCAUCAGGGGGAAUGGUCACAGCCCAGCACCGUUCUGCACACGUGAAUGUUGCUCUGGGAGGAGAAUAUUCUCUGGGAGGGUCCGCCAACUACAGCCCUAAACUUAUGUGAACAGGUCUCUGGAACCAUCUAAAGACUCCUGCGUGUCCCGGGUGAGAAGGAUGCAGGGGGUGAGUGUGGACCACCGGGCUUCAGGUGUGAAAUGUGAGGACUGGGUGAAGGUCUCAGUUCGGGGACAUGACUUUUGCUGCUGCUCUGUGCCUGGCACUGAAGGUCUGAGAAAGGGCCUCCCUCCCUUAUUUUUUCUAAGAGAUUCCAAAAAAGGAAACACGCUACCCAUUAGGUCGUGUAAUCCCUGGCUAUGCCUCUCAGUGCCUCCAUUUCCUCAUCUGUGAAGUGGAAAUAAUAUCCCUGGUUCCCGCAUACGCUGCUUCACAAGAAUCAAACAAGAGCCUGGCUGUGAAUCGGAAAUCAUGACAUAUUUGUAUAAUGGGGAUGUUGUCUUAAGGUUCCAGAAGUUCCUUCCAAAGCCAAACCUUCUUGACUCAGCAGUUCAUUCUCUUGUUCGGUUUUUUUUUUUGUGUGGUACGCGGGCCUCUCACUGCUGUGACCUCUCCCGUGGUGGAGCACAGGCUCUGGACGCGCAGGCUCAGCGGCCAUGGCUCAUGGGCCCAGCCGCUCCGCGGCAUGUGGGAUCUUCCCGGACCGGGGCACGAACCCAUGUAUCCUGCAUCGGCAGGCGGACUCUCAACCACUGCGCCACCAGGGAAGCCCUCUUGUUCGGUUUUUGAGGGAAUCAGCUGGGUUCCUAAGAGAUACCCCUCUGCUCAUUGGGUGGCUGCAUUGUCUCCCCAUCACUUUGGGGUCCCUCCUCCUCUCCCACGCCUCCACUGGAAAGUGCUGCAGACCAAAAGAUUGCCUAGUUACCUUCGACGUGGAACCACAGGGACACCCAGGCUGGAGCUGACCCUAACUGCUUGGCAGUCCCCAUAAGCCCGCUCUUCCCAGUCAGGCAGAGAGGAGCUGAGAUGCCUGGGGGAACACCCUCAAUUGUACGGGAAUCAGAAUGGCACGGACUCUCACUGCCUGAGAUGCAUUAUGAAGAUGCACUUUUGAGGUCCUUCUCUGCUCAGCAGCCCUCACCAGACACACGCUGCCCUCCCUGGCUCUGAUGGCCCAGCCUGAUUCAGAUGACAGUGCUCUCAGAGCUCUAGCUGGAGCUGGGCUGCCCAGCUUUCCGAGGAUGCAGUGUCUCAUGGUGCAGGCACAGCCAGGGCCUUCUGGAGCGGGAGUAAGACAGACUGGAGGAAGCCAGUACAGUUUGUUCCUUCAAGAUCAGAACCUAUAGGAAGCACCCACUUUCAUCAUAUAGUGGUAAGUGCUAACAUGUAUUGGGUGCUCACCCUGCUUCAGUCACAGUGCUUGGCAGUGUGCCCACAUGAUGCUGAAUCUUCACAAGUCCAGUCUUAGUAGGUAUUAUCACCCAUUUUACAGAUGCGGAAACUGAUGAUCAGAGAGUCAAGCCAUUGGUCCCGAGGUCACCCAGGUAGUAUGUGGCAUAGUCAAAAUUUGAACGUAGGCAUAUCUGACAUUCAUUUUCUCCAGUUUUGUCCUCUUCUGAAGAGGAAAAAGUGGUGAAAGUGUGGGAGUCCAUUCUACACAUGGCAGGACACGGGGGGCACCGAGCCUCAUCCCUCUUCUUAGCACUGAACCGGCAGUGACCCUGAGCUGCUACAGACUCAUCCCAAGUCCAGCAAAGCGUUGCUCAGCAUUGCUGAGCUUCCGUUCUGCUGAAGGUCAGGAGCUUCAUUUUCUCUUACAAAGGAGAUCAUGUUGCAAUUGUUACCAUGAUUAUUAUAAACAAUCAUACUAAUGAGCUCAAGUCUCCUCUGCUUUGCAGGGUGUGUGUGUUUAACAGUGAGACUUGGCCCAGAGGAAAGAAGUGGCCAACACAUGCAGAUCUCCACCAGCUCAUGUCACCUCUGCCCUGCGCAACAGCACAUGCAUGGCCGCGCCUGCCUUCCAAGAUAAUAGGAUAAUGGGUGCAACGUGCGUCACCCACCCCUUAGAGAGAGCACGCCAGUCGGGCUUUGUGGAAUCCACGGGGAGCAGGGCAAGCAGACACCGGUGUCUGCCUUCUCCUGGAUUGCAUCUGUGCCCUACAAACCCCCAACAGAAUUGAAUUUACAUCUCCUCCUAAUUAGGGGAGAAAGGAAGACAAGAAUGAUAGUAGAAGAAUUCCUUCCUACCUCUGACUGCUAGCUCUUCAGGGACAGAACAUUAAGCUCUCCCUCUGUCUGCUCCCACCCUUCUCUCUCCUGACUGAUACCUGCAGUACCUAACACAGUGCCAGGCCCUCCCUGGGACCGGAGCGGGUGUGUGAUGAGAGUGAUGAAGCGGGGCUGGUUGGAAAAGCUAGACCGCGCCAGGACGCUUGUCUUGGGUGUGCUGGUCUGCUGUGAGGCAGUGCAGAGCAGUGGCUGGGGGGGUGGGUAGUCUGGGAUGCCUCAAGCCAGACGCGUGGGAGCUGGUCCAGGGCCCUUUGGAGGGGAGGGUUGGGGGUGGAGGGAUUGGGCGUUGCCCGGAGGAGGCUGGUAGAGAGUAACGUUCGUUGCCCACACUGCUUAAAUAAAUCAAAUGUCCUGGCACGCAGAUGCAAGCGCCAGUGCCUGCUUCAGUGCUGUAAGUUUAGAGCAGGGUAUGAACUACUAGGGUCUAAAUAGAAAAAGUCAGAAACGGCGUAAGUCUUGGCAGACGGGAAUCAACGGCGUCAUCACCAACAUCAUGAAACAGUUAAUAAUCACCAGGAAAAAAAAAAGACUUAAAUGUUGUUU